RNAcentral lists this ribosomal RNA (496 nucleotides) under uncultured bacterium. Its description in RNAcentral is "partial 16S ribosomal RNA". It matches the Rfam family "Bacterial small subunit ribosomal RNA", at positions 30 to 523 of the family's 1533-position model. The record is from RNAcentral.
AUUGAACGCUGGCGGAAUGCUUUACACAUGCAAGUCGAACGGUAGAGGGGGCAACCCCUCGAGAGUGGCGAACGGGUGAGUAAUAUAUCGGAACGUGCCCAGUCGUGGGGGAUAACGUAGCGAAAGUUACGCUAAUACCGCAUACGAUCUAAGGAUGAAAGCGGGGGAUCGCAAGACCUCGCGCGAUUGGACCGGCCGAUAUCAGAUUAGGUAGUUGGUGGGGUAAAGGCCCACCAAGCCAACGAUCUGUAGCUGGUCUGAGAGGACGACCAGCCACACUGGAACUGAGACACGGUCCAGACUCCUACGGGAGGCAGCAGUGGGGAAUUUUGGACAAUGGACGCAAGUCUGAUCCAGCCAUUCCGCGUGCAGGAUGAAGGCCCUCGGGUUGUAAACUGCUUUUGUACGGAACGAAAAGGUCUCUCUUAAUACGGGGGACUCAUGACGGUACCGUAAGAAUAAGCACCGGCUAACUACGUGCCAGCCGCCGCAGUAA